CCUACGGGGGGCAGCAGUGAGGAAUAUUGGUCAAUGGCCGAGAGGCUGAACCAGCCAAGUCGCGUGAGGGAUGACGGCCCUACGGGUUGUAAACCUCUUUUGUCGGGGAGCAAAGAGAGUCACGUGUGGCUCAUUGAGAGUACCCGAAGAAAAAGCAUCGGCUAACUCCGUGCCAGCAGCCGCGGUAUUACGUAGGGUUCGUGCGUUAAUCGGAAUUACUGGGCGUAAGGGGUGUGCAGGCGGCUGAGUAAGUCAGAUGUGAAAUCCCCGUGCUUAAACUGGGAUCCGCUUA
Molecule: ribosomal RNA, 292 nt
Filed under: uncultured bacterium
Lineage: Bacteria
Description: partial 16S ribosomal RNA
Rfam family: Bacterial small subunit ribosomal RNA
Source: RNAcentral